RNAcentral lists this ribosomal RNA (1409 nucleotides) under uncultured organism. Its description in RNAcentral is "16S ribosomal RNA". It matches the Rfam family "Bacterial small subunit ribosomal RNA". The record is from RNAcentral.
AUGCUUAACACAUGCAAGUCUACUUGAUCCUUCGGGUGAAGGUGGCGGACGGGUGAGUAACGCGUAAAGAACUUGCCUUACAGACUGGGACAACAUUUGGAAACCAAUGCUAAUACCGGAUAUUAUGAUUGGGUCGCAUGAUCUGGUUAUGAAAGCUAUAUGCGCUGUGAGAGAGCUUUGCGUCCCAUUAUUUAAUUGGUGAGGUAACGGCUCACCAAGACUAUGAUGGGUAGCCGGCCUGAGAGGGUGAACGGCCACAAGGGGACUGAGACACGACCCUUACUCCUACUGCAGGCAUCACUGGGGAAUAUUGGACAAUGGACCAAAAGACUGAUCCACCAAUUCUGUGUGCACGAUGAAGUUUUUCGGAAUGUAAAGUGCUUUCAGUUGGGAAGAAGUCAGAGACGGUACCAACAAAAGAAGCGACGGCUAAGAUACGUGCCAUCAGCCGCGAUAAUACGUAUGUCUCAAGCGUUAUCCGGAUUUAUUGAGCGUAAAGCGCGUCUCGGCGGCUUAGUAAUUCUGAUGUGAAAAUGCGGGGCUCAACCCCGUAUUGCGUUGGAAACUGCUAAACUAUAUGACUGGAGAGGUAGGCGGAACUACAAGGGUAGAGGUGAAAUUGGUAGAUAUUUGUAGGAAUGCCGAUGGGGAAGCCAGCUUACUGGACAGAUACUGACGCUAAAGCGCGAAAGCGUGGGUAGCAAACAGGAUUAGAUACCCUGGUAGUUCACGCCGUAAACGAUGAUUACUAGGUGUUGGGGGUCGAACCUCAGCGCGCAAGCUAACGCGAUAAGUAAUCCGCCUGGGGAGUACGUACGCAAGUAUGAAACUCAAAGGAAUUGACGGGGACCCGCACAAGCGGUGGAGCAUGUGGUUUAAUUUGACGCAACGCGAGGAACCUUACCAGCGUUUGACAUCCCAAGAAGUUAACAGAGAUGUUUUCGUGCCUCUUCGGAGGAACUUGGUGACAGGUGGUGCAUGGCUGUCGUCAGCUCGUGUCGUGAGAUGUUGGGUUAAGUCCCGCAACGAGCGCAACCCCUUUCGUAUGUUACCAUCAUUAAGUUGGGGACUCAUGCGAGACUGCCUGCGAUGAGCAGGAGGAAGGUGGGGAUGACGUCAAGUCAUCAUGCCCCUUAUACGCUGGGCCACACACGUGCUACAAUGGGUAGUACAGAGAGCUGCAAACCUGCGAGGGUAAGCUAAUCUCAUAAAACUAUUCUUAGUUCGGAUUGUACUCUGCAACUCGAGUACAUGAAGUUGGAAUCGCUAGUAAUCGCAAAUCAGCUAUGUUGCGGGGAAUACGUUCUCGGGUCUUGUACACACCGCCCGUCACACCACGAGAGUUGGUUGCACCUGAAGUAACAGGCCUAACCGUAAGGAGGGAUGUUCCGAGGGUGUGAUUAGCGAUU